Long non-coding RNA from Centruroides sculpturatus (bark scorpion), 427 nucleotides. RefSeq lists it as uncharacterized. Lineage: Eukaryota; Metazoa; Arthropoda; Arachnida; Scorpiones; Buthidae. The transcript has 4 exons. The record is from RefSeq and is a predicted model, not a curated record.
ACAGAUUCGUCAAAGUGAAGUUUAGUUCUGUCGAUUAUGUAGGAACUGUCACUAACAUUAAAUAAGAAUAAAAAGAUUAGUCAAAGAGAAGUUCAGUUCUGUGGAUUAUGUACGAAUUGGUAUUAACAUUAAAGAAGAAAGAACUGUGCUACACGUCUUUUCCAGUUUUCCCUUUGUAUCUCCGAGGGUCCUCUGAGAAUGUACUUUAUGGAGGUUUAAAGGGAUCUUCAAAUCCAAAAAAAAACCUGGUCGUGAAAGUCAAGAUCUUGUGUAUACCAACUAAAGUUAAGUCUUUGGCCUAGUAUUUGAGGUAAUCCAUUGUAUAUUGUAUAGUUCCCGCUUGUGGUAAUAUACAUCUAAGGAUGGCGUUGGCAUUCGUAUUUUUAAGUUGACUGAAGAAGGGCAUAUGAUGCCCGAAACGUGUGUG